This 771-nucleotide ribosomal RNA is filed under the name bacterium. Its description in RNAcentral is "bacterial SSU rRNA". It matches the Rfam family "Bacterial small subunit ribosomal RNA", at positions 71 to 855 of the family's 1533-position model. The record is from RNAcentral.
GAAGCCAGCUUGCUGGUGGAUUAGUGGCGAACGGGUGAGUAACACGUGGGUGAUCUGCCCCAAACUUUGGGAUAAGCCUGGGAAACUGGGUCUAAUACCGAAUAUGACCGAUACUCGCAUGGGUGUUGGUGGAAAGCUCCGGCGGUUUGGGAUGGGCCCGCGGCCUAUCAGCUUGUUGGUGGGGUAAUGGCCUACCAAGGCGACGACGGGUAGCCGGCCUGAGAGGGCGACCGGCCACACUGGGACUGAGACACGGCCCAGACUCCUACGGGAGGCAGCAGUGGGGAAUAUUGCACAAUGGGCGCAAGCCUGAUGCAGCGACGCCGCGUGAGGGAUGACGGCCUUCGGGUUGUAAACCUCUUUCACCAGGGACGAAGCGAAAGUGACGGUACCUGGAGAAGAAGCACCGGCCAACUACGUGCCAGCAGCCGCGGUAAUACGUAGGGUGCGAGCGUUGUCCGGAAUUACUGGGCGUAAAGAGCUCGUAGGCGGUUUGUCGCGUCGUUCGUGAAAACUUGGGGCUUAACUCCAAGCGUGCGGGCGAUACGGGCAGACUUGAGUACUACAGGGGAGACUGGAAUUCCUGGUGUAGCGGUGAAAUGCGCAGAUAUCAGGAGGAACACCGGUGGCGAAGGCGGGUCUCUGGGUAGUAACUGACGCUGAGGAGCGAAAGCGUGGGUAGCGAACAGGAUUAGAUACCCUGGUAGUCCACGCCGUAAACGGUGGGUACUAGGUGUGGGUUCCUUUUCACGGGAUCCGUGCCGUAGCUAA